Long non-coding RNA from Mauremys reevesii (Reeves's turtle), 474 nucleotides. RefSeq lists it as uncharacterized. NCBI's taxonomy places the organism in Eukaryota, Metazoa, Chordata, Testudines, Geoemydidae. The transcript has 3 exons. The record is from RefSeq and is a predicted model, not a curated record.
CUCUGAAACAUUGCACCUGUAAGCACUCCCUUGACUGGAACUAGCCAUAAGGGUUGUGAUGAAUGGAUAAGAAUGUGGCAAGGGCUGACCACAAAGUCUUUGAAAAGUCACCAGUAAAUACAGCUGAAGAGGUAUUUCCAAGUUCAAUCAUCUGCUAAGAACACCACUCCCUGCCAUCUCCUUCUGCGGAAGCACACAGGCCCCUGAACUCUAGCACGGUUGGUCGUGUGAAAAGCCUCUGAUUUCAGUGACAGAUCACCACAUUUCAAAAGGUUUCAGAGUCAAUCCACUGAGAUGAAUGCGGCAAAUUCACAUAACCGAGCUAUUGUUUCAAGUUGUCUGCAGACUUAGGAAGACGACACUGCACCAGUUAUAUUUGGUUUUCAUUGUCAAGGUUCUUUGUUGCCAUACGGGUAGAAAAUUUGUUUUUCUAAAAUGAAAGCCCAGUUUCUGGAACCCAAUUCUGCAGCCAGG